AUGGUUGGCGCAUACUCUGGUGUGAAGGUGGGACUCCGCGAAGACGUCGCACAGUACCUGGAAUUGUGUAUUGUGCACAACCUUGUGCUGAGACAACGGAAAACCGCCAUCUUAUUGCUCACUCAAUGCCUCCAUAACACCAAUUUUUCACUCCCGGGCUUUGCAGCAGCCCGGUGUACUUUCCAUAAUACGCCUAUUACACAGGCAUCCUCACUAGCCAUCGCUUACACAAUUACCCGUGUGAUUUUCUCCAUCCCGGCGUGGUUGCCAUCGUCUUCGGUCCCCACCCAGUAUAACUUCGGGCGCCUGCAUCACGGGUGCCCUAAAAAAAUAGGAGACGCGUUCCCCUCCUCCCAGGUUUCUGGUUUCUCCACCCAGUCUCCCCACCGUCCUCCACUCCUCGCACCCCAGCCCUUCCGGCCUCCACCCAGACCGGGGAGAAGCGGGCCUGACAUUCCAGGUAGUUACAGAAAACUUAUUAUCCUGAUGCUGAGAAGCAAACACUUUAAGAGGGACAUCAGCUACUUGUGUCGCAGAGCAGCCCUGUUCCAGAGCAUCACCAGAACUCAUGGCCACAACCAGUGUAACCUCUGCAGUGGGUGUUGUUGUGCUGCCCUCACUAUAUGUGUGAUUCAGUCCUAUCAGUUGUGUCCAACUCUGCACCCCCAUGGACUGUUGCCCUCUGCAAGCUCCUCUGUCCAUGGGAUUUUUCCAGGCAAGAAUACUGGAGUGGGGUGCCAUGCCCUCCUCCAGGGGAUUUUCCCCAACCAGGGAUUGAACCCGUAUCUCUGACAUCUUAUGCAGUGACAGGUAGGUUCUUUACCAUAGUGCCACAGGGGAAGCCCACCAGACAAUGAGCUAGUGUCUUAUUUCACUCUUGUAAUAAUCCAUCAAAGUCCUUAUUAAUACUCUCAUCUCAGUUUAAUAGGAAAAGAGAGAGAGAAAAAGGAGAGUUAGAGGGUGAAUUCAUUUCUUCAACUGAGUGAUGAAAAGAGCUUUGUACCCUCGUCUCCCUGACUUCAAGACCCAGUCUCUUUUCAACCAUUUCACCAUUAAAUCAUGGUGCUAUGUUGCCAAGUAUGGAAGGUUUAAAGUAAGUGAGUGACAAGAUCAAUGCAGAAUUUUGGGUGGAAAAAAAAAGUCUAAACGGGGUGUGCGAUUCUGGAGGGGAAGACACUCUAUUCAUGUCUACCGGAGUUCCUCUGACUGGAAAAUGGAAACCACCUCCCACUUGAUUAAGUGCCUUCCCUGAUGCCUGUCCUCAGAGUCGUUCUCAUUCUCUUCCCUGCUGUGAAGCCAGGUUUAGGAGGAGAUGGAAGAGAUAAGCAGAUGAAUAAAAAUAAGCAGACCAGAUAAUGUUGGCUGAUU
RNAcentral lists this long non-coding RNA (1368 nucleotides) under Bos indicus x Bos taurus (hybrid cattle). RNAcentral's name for it is "lncRNA (ENSBIXG00005011516.1)". Lineage: Eukaryota; Metazoa; Chordata; Mammalia; Artiodactyla; Bovidae. The record is from RNAcentral.